AURCCCUAUUAUUUUUAUUGUAAAUGGAAUAAGCUAGAGUAAUAAUAGUUAUGGUCUUAAAACUUAAAGAAUUUGACGGUAUUAUAGUCUAUUUAGAGGAAUCUGUUAUAUAAUCGAUAAUCCACGUUAAACCUUACUUAUAUAUAUUUCUUGUAUACCGCUGUUUAAGAAUAUAUUUUUAGAUUAUUUUCUAAAUAUUAAAUUAAUUAAUACUUCAAGUCAAGGUGCAGUAAUUUAUAAGUUAAUUAAUGGAUUACAAUAGAAUUUAUUUAUUUAUGGAUUAUUAUUGAAAUAUAAUAUUGAAGGUGGAUUUAAUUGUAAUUUUAUAAAGAUUAUUAAAAUGAUUUAAGGCUCUAUAAUAUGUACACAUCGCCC
RNAcentral lists this ribosomal RNA (375 nucleotides) under Ceratomantis kimberlae. RNAcentral's name for it is "partial 12S ribosomal RNA". Lineage: Eukaryota; Metazoa; Arthropoda; Insecta; Mantodea; Hymenopodidae. The record is from RNAcentral.